GACGAACGCUGGUGGCGUGCUUAACACAUGCAAGUCGAACGGAAAGGCCCUGCUUUUGUGGGGUGCUCGAGUGGCGAACGGGUGAGUAACACGUGAGUAACCUGCCCUUGACUUUGGGAUAACUUCAGGAAACUGGGGCUAAUACCGGAUAGGAGCUCCUGCUGCAUGGUGGGGGUUGGAAAGUUUCGGCGGUUGGGGAUGGACUCGCGGCUUAUCAGCUUGUUGGUGGGGUAGUGGCUUACCAAGGCUUUGACGGGUAGCCGGCCUGAGAGGGUGACCGGCCACAUUGGGACUGAGAUACGGCCCAGACUCCUACGGGAGGCAGCAGUGGGGAAUAUUGCACAAUGGGCGGAAGCCUGAUGCAGCAACGCCGCGUGCGGGAUGACGGCCUUCGGGUUGUAAACCGCUUUCGCCUGUGACGAAGCGUGAGUGACGGUAAUGGGUAAAGAAGCACCGGCUAACUACGUGCCAGCAGCCGCGGUGAUACGUAGGGUGCGAGCGUUGUCCGGAUUUAUUGGGCGUAAAGGGCUCGUAGGUGGUUGAUCGCGUCGGAAGUGUAAUCUUGGGGCUUAACCCUGAGCGUGCUUUCGAUACGGGUUGACUUGAGGAAGGUAGGGGAGAAUGGAAUUCCUGGUGGAGCGGUGGAAUGCGCAGAUAUCAGGAGGAACACCAGUGGCGAAGGCGGUUCUCUGGGCCUUUCCUGACGCUGAGGAGCGAAAGCGUGGGGAGCGAACAGGCUUAGAUACCCUGGUAGUCCACGCUGUAAACGGUGGGUACUAGGUGUGGGGUCCAUUCCACGGGUUCCGUGCCGUAGCUAACGCUUUAAGUACCCCGCCUGGGGAGUACGGCCGCAAGGCUAAAACUCAAAGGAAUUGACGGGGCCCCGCACAAGCGGCGGAGCAUGCGGAUUAAUUCGAUGCAACGCGUAGAACCUUACCUGGGUUUGACAUGGAUCGGGAGUGCUCAGAGAUGGGUGUGCCUCUUUUGGGGUCGGUUCACAGGUGGUGCAUGGCUGUCGUCAGCUCGUGUCGUGAGAUGUUGGGUUAAGUCCCGCAACGAGCGCAACCCUUGUUCACUGUUGCCAGCACGUUAUGGUGGGGACUCAGUGGAGACCGCCGGGGUCAACUCGGAGGAAGGUGGGGAUGACGCCAAGUCAUCAUGCCCCUUAUGUCCAGGGCUUCACGCAUGCUACAAUGGCUGGUACAGAGAGUGGCGAGCCUGUGAGGGUGAGCGAAUCUCGGAAAGCCGGUCUCAGUUCGGAUUGGGGUCUGCAACUCGACCUCAUGAAGUCGGAGUCGCUAGUAAUCGCAGAUCAGCAACGCUGCGGUGAAUACGUUCCCGGGGCU
Molecule: ribosomal RNA, 1346 nt
Filed under: uncultured bacterium
Lineage: Bacteria
Description: partial 16S ribosomal RNA
Rfam family: Bacterial small subunit ribosomal RNA
Source: RNAcentral